UGGGGAAUAUUGCACAAUGGGCGCAAGCCUGAUGCAGCCAUGCCGCGUGUAUGAAGAAGGCCUUCGGGUUGUAAAGUACUUUCAGCGGGGAGGAGGGCGAUAAGGUUAAUAACCUUGUCGAUUGACGUUACCCGCAGAAGAAGCACCGGCUAACUCCGUGCCAGCAGCCGCGGUAAUACGGAGGGUGCAAGCGUUAAUCGGAAUUACUGGGCGUAAAGCGCACGCAGGCGGUCUGUCAAGUCGGAUGUGAAAUCCCCGGGCUCAACCUGGGAACUGCAUUCGAAACUGGCAGGCUAGAGUCUUGUAGAGGGGGGUAGAAUUCCAGGUGUAGCGGUGAAAUGCGUAGAGAUCUGGAGGAAUACCGGUGGCGAAGGCGGCCCCCUGGACAAAGACUGACGCUCAGGUGCGAAAGCGUGGGGAGCAAACA
This 427-nucleotide ribosomal RNA is filed under the name uncultured bacterium. RNAcentral's name for it is "partial 16S ribosomal RNA". It matches the Rfam family "Bacterial small subunit ribosomal RNA", at positions 355 to 774 of the family's 1533-position model. The record is from RNAcentral.